Long non-coding RNA from Siniperca chuatsi (mandarin fish), 1539 nucleotides. RefSeq lists it as uncharacterized. Lineage: Eukaryota; Metazoa; Chordata; Actinopteri; Centrarchiformes; Sinipercidae. The transcript has 3 exons. The record is from RefSeq and is a predicted model, not a curated record.
CAGUUGGACGAGACCGAGGAAUACGGGUGUCGCUCACCGGGCAACAGGCUGCAAGUGGCGGUUGACAUUUUGGUUGGGUUCGGCACAAGGAUCACAUGCCAGCCGGCGAUCAACAACUUUCUUAAGACAGAUGUGGAUGUUUAUGCUGGCAGUUGGGGACUGCAUGCCCUUCUCUGAAGCACAGAAGCAGCAACCCUCGGGCACAAACAGCUGCCAUGUGGUACAUGUCAGCCUCCUUUACACACUGCAAAAGCACGCAAAGGAGGGAAGCACUGUUGGUGGAGGUCUAAACCCCCUGGAGCGGAUAGAGGGAUUUCAGGUGUCAAGGGAGAGAGAGAAAGAGUCAGAGAGGGGUGUGAAUAAUACAUCAGAGAGGGAAGAAGAAAGUGGGAAAGAGUCGGGAGGAGAGAAUGAGGGAGACAUAAAAGGUGGGAGGUGGAGAGAAAGAGAAACAGAUAUAAAGAGGGUGUCAAAAGGACGGAGAGUCAGAUAGGGAGGAAGCCUGAGAGAUGGGAAUAAGAAAGGUGAUUGACAGUUUUCUUGGAGGGCAACCAUGACAGGAAAACACACAUCUAUAAAAGUCAUGCAUUUGUACAUCCAUCCAUCCAUCUUUUCAUCCAUCCAUCUGUUCCUCCCUCCUUCCGUCUCUUUCCUGCCUCCAGUGUGGACAGGAGUUGUUGCAUAAGACAGCGAUUCAUCUUUUAUUGAGAUGGGAAGCUUCCAUAAAUAUGUCUACCUUGUUCUCUGGAGUUUUAAAGCUCAACCUGUAAUCCAGCUAAAAAUAUACAAAGGAUACCCACAACAACAACAAAUGAAAAUAUACUGUAGAAGCACAACUUCUUUCCUAAAUUAUUUCAGAAGUGUUUUGCUGAAAAUGAAUUCUAUUUUCAGAUUUCCUUUAAAUUGCUGUGCUCUACUGACAAAGGUUUAACAUGACUUACAAUUAUAUAGAAGUCAAAGGUUGACUGAUAUGUGAUUUUAAAGGCCAAUGGCAAUAUUUUUUGUACUGAUGCUGCCAGAUACCCAUCUAUGCUGAUAUUAAUUUAUUUUAAAUGUAACAAUGUGAAUCACAUGUAUUUGUUGACUGUCAGGGACUCAAAAACUGUCCAGUAAGACCCAGACUGAUUAAUCAAUGAAAGGUUCAAAUAGAAUAAAAGUUUACUGUAAAGUUUUAUAUACUCAGUGUAGUACAUGGCUGCCCAAUAUUAAACAUGUAAUAUGAAGUGUUAUGUGUUUAGUGUUGUAUCCUUGUUAUAAAUCCUUGUAUCCUUGUUAUACAUUUAUCUUAUUUGUGUUUCCAUCACUUCUGUUUUCUGAUAUAAUCUGAAAUACAUCAUUUACUCAGACUUUUUUUUUCUUUAAAUUUAAAGUACUAUGAAACUUUAGACAGCAAAAAAAAGUUAUGAAGUUUAGUAGGGCAGUAAUUAUAUUGUUUAUCACUACAAGAUAGUUGGUCUAACUGUAUUUAUAUAAAACCUCACAAAAACCAUUUGGUAUAAAUGUUGCAUAUCAGAGUUUAGAGUACUGUUUAUAACCCUG